Non-coding RNA from Acanthosepion pharaonis, 97 nucleotides. The record is from the annotation of a GenBank genome assembly. NCBI's taxonomy places the organism in Eukaryota, Metazoa, Mollusca, Cephalopoda, Sepiida, Sepiidae.
UUGAAACACCAGUCCCCAUACGAUCACCGAAGUUAAGCAACAUCGAGCUUUGUCAGUACCUAGAUGGGUGAUCGUUUGGGAAUAGCAGGUGUUGUAA